Prionailurus viverrinus (fishing cat) is the source of this 1598-nucleotide long non-coding RNA. RefSeq lists it as uncharacterized. The record is from RefSeq and is a predicted model, not a curated record. Lineage: Eukaryota; Metazoa; Chordata; Mammalia; Carnivora; Felidae. The transcript is spliced from 3 exons.
GCAAGAGAGAGCAAGGGUGGCAUUUCAUUACAAGGAGGGAGAAAAGGAGAGAGGGAACAGCACCGAUUGUCAGCUUCGUCCUAUACUCCUCUUUUGUGACGGUGGGAUCGAAUACUUAACUGGGGAGGUCCUGGAAGUUUUGGACCUGAAAGCCAUGGGACUAAAGAUUUGUCACUCUGGAGGCUUGAAUCGUGAAUUUUUAGAAUAUGCAGCACCCCGUACAUGUAUACAUGUUUGUGAAUGGGUGACACAGCUGCAAGACAAUUAUGGGAGACACACCAAUGCUCAGCUAGAAGUUUUACUGCUCAUCAAAUCCUGACCCACUAACCUCAGGACUUGAUCAAAGAAGGAAAUGAAGAUAACUGUCAUGACUUUUCUUAGGGAAUUGAAACUGCUCGAGUCCCAUAAUCUUUGUUAUUUGCUACCAAACCAUUUUUAGACAAUCCCUUUGGCAAAGAUCAGGAUCAAAACAGUUGUCUAAAUUUUUUCCUCAUACUGAAGACAACUUACCACAAUUCAGUCUUCUGACCCCUCUGGCAGGCACUGUGAGCUCUAUAAUUCCUCAAAGAUCACCUUUUGGUUUUAAGAUCACACAACUUCCUUCAUUUCCUGAGAUGAAAUUUGUCUUGGUCUGAGGGCUGAAUGGCCAGUAAAAGCUCCUACCGUGGCCCCUCUUCAUGAGACUGCACCCCGUCCCACUGCCCAUCUGAUUUGUUCUGCACCUAAGUCCCCUCCCUGCUAAUACCAGAAUGGGCCUUUGAGGCUUGGGGAAGCAGGGUACUAGCCAUGCACAGGGAGGGACAGGUGGAAAAUGGGUGGAAGGUGCCAUACUUCAAAGGUGGGCUGGCCACAUAGGACAAAUGUCAGUGUUGAAGAAGGCCAGUGGGGUCACUCAUCAAGUGUAAGCAUCAUGCUUUCAGGGGCCAGGCAAGCAGCUCAAAUGUAUAGGGAGGGUGGAGGUAAGCCAUGGGGAGUGGUAAGGCCUGUGGUCAGCUGGAGAGAGCAUGCCCCUCCUCAAAACAUUCCAAUUCUAGGUCUUUUAAAACUCUGUGCUCGCCAAGCAAAACGCUGCUGUAUUUGCUGGUAAUCUGCCCUCUGGCCCAGUCUGUGACCUCUGAUUCAAGUCCAACUCAGUCUAAGAGAACCUGCCCUCAGCACAGCCAACUGUGGGAGUGAGCCUGGGGCCAUGCUUGGGUGAGGCUAGAGCUGGUUGGACCAGAGCAGACACCUGAUUACAGGAGCCAAUCACAGCCUUUCUUCUCAGACCUGGAAUUGGGCACUGAAUAAUCAACAAGCUAUGGAGAAUGAGGAUGGAAUGUCCUAGAGACAGGCAAGAAGGGUGAGGCCGAGAAAGACCACAAAGCCCCAUGAGGAUGGAAGGGGUGGCAUCUCUUCUAACUUUCAGGGUCCAACCCCUGUGUGGGCCAGAAGCUCCUCCCUUCCUGCCCUUGCCUGUCUGGAAGACCACUUACCUUUAACCUAAAUUUGAGGGGAUUAUUCAAAUUUAGCCAAACAAUCCCCAAUGAUGACACCCAGCCUUUACAAAUGAGGAAAGUGAACUCCAGAGAGGAGGACAAACUGUCUGUGCUCACCUGUAC